CCCUUAGAUGUUCUGGGCCGCACGCGCGCUACACUGACGAAGUCAGCGAGCAUCUCCUACGCCGAAAGGUGCAGGGAAUCUUGUGAAACUUUGUCGUGCUGGGGAUUGAUUUUUGAAAUUCUUGAUCAUCAACGAGGAAUUCCUAGUAAGCGCAAGUCAGCAGCUUGCGUUGAUUACGUCCCUGCCCUUUGUACACACCGCCCGUCGCUACUACCGAUUGAAUGGUUUAGUGAGAUUUUUGGACUGGAACUCUCUUGUUCAGCAAUGAACGAGAGGGACUCUGGGAAGCUAUUCUAACUGUAUCAUUUAGAGGAAGUAAAAGUCGUAACA
Molecule: ribosomal RNA, 330 nt
Filed under: uncultured eukaryote
Lineage: Eukaryota
Description: partial 18S ribosomal RNA
Rfam family: Eukaryotic small subunit ribosomal RNA
Source: RNAcentral